UGGGGAAUUUUGGACAAUGGGCGAAAGCCUGAUCCAGCAAUGCCGCGUGCAGGAUGAAGGCCUUCGGGUUGUAAACUGCUUUUGUACGGAACGAAACGGCGAGCUCUAAUAAAGUUUGCUAAUGACGGUACCGUAAGAAUAAGCACCGGCUAACUACGUGCCAGCAGCCGCGGUAAUACGGAGGGGGCUAGCGUUGUUCGGAAUUACUGGGCGUAAAGCGUACGUAGGCGGUUAUCCAAGUCAGAGGUGAAAGCCCGGGGCUCAACUCCGGAACUGCCUUUGAUACUGGCAAUCUAGAGUCCGGAAGAGGUUAGUGGAAUUCCCAGUGUAGAGGUGAAAUUCGUAGAUAUUGGGAAGAACAUCGGUGGCGAAGGCGUCUACCUGGCCUAAUACUGACACUGAGGCACGAAAGCGUGGGGAGCAAACAGGAUUAGAUACCCGCGUAGUCCCUGAGCGGGCUGGCAAGGCGCAU
Molecule: ribosomal RNA, 472 nt
Filed under: uncultured bacterium
Lineage: Bacteria
Description: bacterial SSU rRNA
Rfam family: Bacterial small subunit ribosomal RNA
Source: RNAcentral